GCCGGGUGUGGUGGCUCACGCCUGUAAUCCCAGCACUUUGGGAGGCUGAGGCGGGUGGAUCACCUGAGGUUGGGAGUUUGAGACCAGCCUGACCAACAUGGAGAAACCCCGUCUCUA
This 117-nucleotide non-coding RNA is filed under the name Gorilla gorilla gorilla (western lowland gorilla). The record is from Rfam by way of RNAcentral. Lineage: Eukaryota; Metazoa; Chordata; Mammalia; Primates; Hominidae.